ACUGGCGGGGCAGAGGCUGGGGCGCCCCCUCGGGCCCGCGCAGGGACCGCAGGCGCCCCUCCCGCGCUCGCCCGGCCCGGGCUGCCCCCGCGCGCCCACGCCCCAGGUGUCAGGGCGCGCAUCACCGAGGGGCGCCGUGCCCAGGCCAGGGGGCCAGGGCGGAGCGGGUGGGGGAGAAGCCCAUUUAGAUUCAGAGGGAAGCCGGCCCUGGGAGACGGCCGCGAGGAACAAAGGCGCCCCAGAGCUGCCCACUUAGCAUGCCAGAGCCGCGCUGCUCGGCUCCCAGGCCGGGGACGCGACCCGGUGCCGAGCGGAGGGCUCCGGGCCCCGGGAACUCCUAAGGCCACAGGCACCUCCAAGGCCACCGCCGCACGCAGCUUCGGAGUGCACGGUGCACACGCCCAGGCACAGCAGCCGGGCCCUAGAGAUUGCGAAUGCUUUGGCUUUGAGUAAGGCGCUCAGCUCUACCUUCCUUCUUGCGGUGAUUACUGCCCUUGGUUAUUACCUGAGGGCGUUGCAAGAGCCUUAUUUACACCGCCAAGUUGAGAAUUUAAAAACAUUUUUAAAAAUAGGUUUAUCUGCGUAUCCUGGUGAAGUUAGGAUGCAGAGAACUUGGAGCGGUUGUUUUCUACCAGACACGAGGAUCCCUGUGAAAGAAAGACAGCUAAACCACCAAGGCCCAGCCAACUGGUGGGAUCCUGAAAUGAACUUCCCUUGAAAGCGGCACGUCUUUGCACCCUGUCAGCGAAGAGAUUGUUUACAUGCAAUGAGGCUGAGUUUAAAAGAAGGCAGAAAGAAAGAAGAAAACACUAUGACUACAGUUCUGUGAGUGUGCAUAUCCAAAGGGAGAUACCCAUCCAUAGAAGAUGGUUGCUGUCAGAAAAUGCUGAGGAGUUUGCACAAGGAACGGAAGUGGAGUUGACCAAUGCAUCAGGAAGCGUACACUUUCUUUUUAAACCGCUG
Molecule: non-coding RNA, 963 nt
Organism: Callithrix jacchus (white-tufted-ear marmoset)
Lineage: Eukaryota; Metazoa; Chordata; Mammalia; Primates; Cebidae
Source: RefSeq, a predicted model, not a curated record